RNAcentral lists this ribosomal RNA (235 nucleotides) under Mycobacterium tuberculosis. RNAcentral describes it as "partial 23S ribosomal RNA". It matches the Rfam family "Bacterial large subunit ribosomal RNA", at positions 2461 to 2695 of the family's 2925-position model. The record is from RNAcentral. Lineage: Bacteria; Bacillati; Actinomycetota; Actinomycetes; Mycobacteriales; Mycobacteriaceae.
AGGUACUCCGGGGAUAACAGGCUGAUACCGCCCAAGAGUUCAUAUCGACGGCGGUGUUUGGCACCUCGAUGUCGGCUCAUCACAUCCUGGGGCUGAAGUAGGUCCCAAGGGUAUGGCUGUUCGCCAUUUAAAGUGGUACGCGAGCUGGGUUUAGAACGUCGUGAGACAGUUCGGUCCCUAUCUGCCGUGGGCGCUGGAGAAUUGAGGGGGGCUGCUCCUAGUACGAGAGGACCGG